CUUACUAGAUGCCCCAAAACCCUGAUAUACCCAUGGAACUUGAAGAGAUACCUAUUGUCACUGAUGAGUUACUAGUCUUUGUUUUUAAGAACUUAGAAGAAAGGGGCGCGCUGCGAGGUGGUUCCGCAUGCGCCGUGGGGUUGAGCGAAGCGCACGCUGAAGAGGACGGCUCGUUCGGGUGUGUUGGAUCUGAUCUUAGCAGUUGAAGAGCACGGCGCAGGACCCCAGCGCAUGUUUCACACACAAACCUCAGAAAGCCGGCUCUAAGUUGUAGAUUUUAUCAACACAAAUUUCCUGAGGUGGAAGAUGUAGUGAUGGUGAAUGUAAGAUCUAUUGCUGAGAUGCGGGCUUAUGUAAGCCUGCUGGAGUACAACAACAUCGAAGGCAUGAUUCUUCUUAGUGAAUUAUCCAGGAGACAUAUCCGUUCUAUAAACAAACUCAUCCGAAUUGGCAGGAAUGAAUGUGUGGUUGUCAUUAGGGUGGACAAAGAAAAAGGAUAUAUUGAUUUGUCAAAAAGAAGAGUUUCUCCAGAAGAAGCAAUCAAAUGUGAAGACAAAUUCACAAAGUCUAAAACUGUUUAUAGCAUUCUUCGUUAUGUUGCUGAGGUGUUAAAAUACACCAAAGAUGAGUAGUUGGAAAGCCUGUUACAGAGGACUGCAUGGGUCUUUCAUGACAAGUAUAAGAGACCCGGAUACGGUGCCUAUGAUGCGUUUAAGCAUGCAGUCUCAGACCCAUCUAUCUUGGAUAGCUUAGAUUUGAAUGAAGAUGAACGGGAAAUACUCAUUAACAAUAUUAAUAGGCAUUUUACCCCACAAGCUGUCAAAAUUCAAGCAGAUAUUGAAGUGGCUUGUUAUGGUUAUGAAGGCAUUGAUGCUGUAAAAGAAACCCUGAGAGCAGGUUUGGAUUGUUCUACGGAAACCAUGCAAAACCAAAAUUAAUCUAAUAGCUCCUCCUUGGUAUGUGAUGACUACAACAACUCUGGAGAGAACAGAAGGCCUUUCUGCUCUCAAUCAAGCUAUGGCUAUUAUCAAAGAAAAGAUUGAGGAAAAGAGGGGUGUGCUCAAUGUUCAAAUGGAGCCCAAACUGGUCACAGAUACAGACGAGACUGAACUUGCCAGGCAGCUGGAGAGGCUUGAAAGAGAAAAUGCCGAAGUGGAUGGAGAUGAUGAUGCAGAAGAAAUGGAAGCCAAAGCUGAAGAUUAACUUGUGGGAAACAGAGUCCAAUUUAAGGAACACAGAGCAGCCCCUUCUGGCUGAAAACCCUAGACUUGAAAGUUUUCCAGUAUUGAAAACUUCAAAACGAAAUAUUUUUUAUUUCCAAGCAUUUAAAUCUUCUAACAGACCAGAACAUGAAAUGCCAUCUGAAAUGUCAGCUGAUUUCACACAAUAGCUCCAACACAUUGAGCAGUUUUUAAGAGAGUGGCCUAAUUUCACUAGAGGCAAAUCUUUAAGACCAGUCCUAAAAUUGGGCUUGUGAUUUCCAUUUCUGAUGUCUCCAGAUUGACACCCCUUUGUAGUUCAGUCCCUCUAUGAGAUUCAUCAGGGGCACCCAAAGCAAGCAGUCCCAAUCUUUCUAUAUAAACUGUAUUCAAGCAAAUAUCAAAUAAAUUUCUGGGAUAUUUAAAAAAAAAAAAA
Nycticebus coucang (slow loris) is the source of this 1635-nucleotide RNA transcript. It is a transcript of the gene named eukaryotic translation initiation factor 2 subunit 1-like, with no coding region annotated. The transcript has a single exon. The record is from RefSeq and is a predicted model, not a curated record. NCBI's taxonomy places the organism in Eukaryota, Metazoa, Chordata, Mammalia, Primates, Lorisidae.